UACAGAGGGUGCAAGCGUUAAUCGGACUUACUGGGCGUAAAGGGCGCGUAGGCGGAUGCGUAAGUCAGAUGUGAAAGGCCAUGGCUUAACCAUGGAAUGUCAUUUGAGACUGCGCGUCUAGAGUCGAAGAGAGGGAAGCGGAAUUUCCGGUGUAGCGGUGAAAUGCGUAGAUAUCGGAAGGAACACCCGUAGCGAAGGCGGCGUUCUGGACUGCAACUGACACUGAGGAACGAAAGCCAGGGGAGCAAACGGG
Molecule: ribosomal RNA, 253 nt
Filed under: uncultured bacterium
Lineage: Bacteria
Description: partial 16S ribosomal RNA
Rfam family: Bacterial small subunit ribosomal RNA
Source: RNAcentral